This 627-nucleotide small RNA is filed under the name uncultured Ascomycota. Its description in RNAcentral is "eukaryotic LSU rRNA". The stretch from base 252 to 405 matches the Rfam family "5.8S ribosomal RNA". The record is from RNAcentral. Lineage: Eukaryota; Fungi; Ascomycota.
GAUUCUUGGUCAUUUUAGAGGAAGUAAAAGUCGUAACAAGGUUUCCGUAGGUGAACCUGCGGAAGGAUCAUUACAAGUUGACCCUGGACCGUGUACAAGUCUCCUGCUGGACCGUGUACAAGUCUCCUGAAUUGGCGGGCCGCGGUCCUCCGCGGCCGCCCCCCUCCCCGGGGGGGUGGCCAGCGCCCGCCAGAGGACCAUCAAACUCCAGUCAGUAAACGAUGCAGUCUGAAAAACAUUUAAUAAACUAAAACUUUCAACAACGGAUCUCUUGGUUCUGGCAUCGAUGAAGAACGCAGCGAAAUGCGAUAAGUAAUGUGAAUUGCAGAAUUCAGUGAAUCAUCGAAUCUUUGAACGCACAUUGCGCCCUUUGGUAUUCCGAAGGGCAUGCCUGUUCGAGCGUCAUUACAACCCUCAAGCUCUGCUUGGUAUUGGGCACCGUCCUUUGCGGGCGCGCCUCAAAGACCUCGGCGGUGGCGUCUUGCCUCAAGCGUAGUAGAACAUACAUCUCGCUUCGGAGCGCAGGGCGUCGCCCGCCGGACGAACCUUUUGAACUUUUCUCAAGGUUGACCUCGGAUCAGGUAGGGAUACCCGCUGAACUUAAGCAUAUCAAUAAGCGGAGGAAAU